GAGGGUAUAGCUCAGUGGUAGAGCACAUGUUUAGCAUGCAUGAGGUCCUGGGUUCAAUCCCCAGUACCUCCA
RNAcentral lists this transfer RNA (72 nucleotides) under Camelus bactrianus (Bactrian camel). It matches the Rfam family "tRNA". Rfam says of the family: Transfer RNA (tRNA) molecules are approximately 80 nucleotides in length. Their secondary structure includes four short double-helical elements and three loops (D, anti-codon, and T loops). Lineage: Eukaryota; Metazoa; Chordata; Mammalia; Artiodactyla; Camelidae. The record is from Rfam by way of RNAcentral. RNAcentral also lists the same sequence under 3 other names.